UCGUGAGAUGUUGGGUUAAGUCCCGUAACGAGCGCAACCCUUGUCCUUAGUUACCAGCACGUUAUGGUGGGCACUCUAAGGAGACUGCCGGUGACGAAACCGGAGGAAGGUGGGGAUGACGUCAAGUCAUCAUGGCCCUUACGGCCUGGGCUACACACGUGCUACAAUGGUCGGUACAAAGGGUUGCCAAGCCGCGAGGUGGAGCUAAUCCCAUAAAACCGAUCGUAGUCCGGAUCGCAGUCUGCAACUCGACUGCGUGAAGUCGGAAUCGCUAGUAAUCGUGAAUCAGAAUGUCACGGUGAAUACGUUCCCGGGCCUU
This 319-nucleotide ribosomal RNA is filed under the name uncultured Pseudomonas sp. RNAcentral's name for it is "bacterial SSU rRNA". It matches the Rfam family "Bacterial small subunit ribosomal RNA", at positions 1065 to 1382 of the family's 1533-position model. Lineage: Bacteria; Pseudomonadati; Pseudomonadota; Gammaproteobacteria; Pseudomonadales; Pseudomonadaceae. The record is from RNAcentral.